UUCUGAUUUACUAUUUUCAAACUGUCUGCUGGGAUUUUGGUGGCAAGAAACAAACUUGGAUUACAGGAAUGAGGGACCUAAGCAGAUUUUAACCUAGCUCUAUGGAGGCAAAAUGUUAGUGUAUGAGCCCACUGUACCAUGUCUGAAUUGGUGCCAUAUGAUGAUGAAUUCUGAUACAAAGACAAGGCAGGACCUGAUUUGGAUUAUAUAUAUGAAAACAGAUGGAAAGAAAGAAUUUGAAAUUGGAAGAUGGCAGGGACAGCUGAUGGCAUUAUGAUUCCAACGAAGAAGGGAAAAAAAUUGGUGUAUGUGUGGGGGGAGGAGACAAAAAACGGUUCCUUUACUCCCUGACACCCACACUUCAAUCUGGCAAAAAGAUGAAAGCUUGUUUUGAUCCAGUUCUGUGUAAUGUAACAGAGAUGGAUGAUUCAUAUGAAGGAAGCUGUUUUGACUUCCAGCACAUCAAAAUAAAUUUAAUUCCUUCACCUACCUUUGCAGCAAAUGUAAAGUGUUGGGAAUACAAGCUUUGAGCUCUA
Mauremys reevesii (Reeves's turtle) is the source of this 536-nucleotide long non-coding RNA. RefSeq lists it as uncharacterized. Lineage: Eukaryota; Metazoa; Chordata; Testudines; Geoemydidae. The record is from RefSeq and is a predicted model, not a curated record. The transcript has 2 exons.